Molecule: ribosomal RNA, 487 nt
Filed under: uncultured bacterium
Lineage: Bacteria
Description: bacterial SSU rRNA
Rfam family: Bacterial small subunit ribosomal RNA
Source: RNAcentral
GAACGCUAGCGGCAGGCUUAACACAUGCAAGUCGAGGGGCAGCAUGAUUGAACUUUCGGGUUCGGUUGAUGGCGACCGGCGCAAGGGUGCGUAACGCGUGAGCAACUUGCCCGUUUCAGGGGGAUAACCGGUGGAAACGCCGACUAAUACCCCAUGGCAUCAUAUUGAGGCAUCUUUAUAUGAUUAAAGAAUUUCGGAAACGGAUAGGCUCGCGUGACAUUAGCUAGAUGGCGGGGUAACGGCCCACCAUGGCGACGAUGUCUAGGGGUUCUGAGAGGAAGGUCCCCCACACUGGAACUGAGACACGGUCCAGACUCCUACGGGAGGCAGCAGUGAGGAAUAUUGGUCAAUGGCCGGGAGGCUGAACCAGCCAUGCCGCGUGAAGGUCACGGCCCUAUGGGUCUUAAACUUCUUUUGUAAGGGAGCAAUAAGGUUCACGUGUGGACUGAUGAGAGUACCUUACGAAUAAGCAUCGGCUAACUCCGUG